Gossypium raimondii (Peruvian cotton) is the source of this 46-nucleotide non-coding RNA. The record is from Rfam. Lineage: Eukaryota; Viridiplantae; Streptophyta; Magnoliopsida; Malvales; Malvaceae.
UCAGUGGAGUUUUUUAACUCCACAAGCAGAGUUUAGUACAUGACAU